UACGAAGGGUGCAAGCGUUACUCGGAAUUACUGGGCGUAAAGCGUGCGUAGGCGGUUUGUUAAGUCCGCUGUGAAAGCCCUGGGCUCAACCUGGGAAUUGCAGUGGAUACUGGCAAGCUAGAGUGCGGUAGAGGAUGGUGGAAUUCCCGGUGUAACGGUGAAAUGCGUAGAGAUCCGGAGGAACACCAGUGGCGAAGGCGACACGCUGGGCCGUACCUGACGCUAAAGCGCGACAGCAUGGGGAGCAAACGGG
Molecule: ribosomal RNA, 253 nt
Filed under: uncultured bacterium
Lineage: Bacteria
Description: partial 16S ribosomal RNA
Rfam family: Bacterial small subunit ribosomal RNA
Source: RNAcentral